CGAGAACGCCCGGGCCUAGCCUGGGCAAGUACAGUGGCGGACGGGUGCGUAACGCGUAGAUAACCUGCCCUCAGGCGCGGGACAAUCGCGGGAAACCGCGGCUAAUACCGCACGACGUCCGGAUCCCGCAUGGGAGCCGGAUGAAACCUUGGGGUUACCCAGGGGCCUUUGGAUGGGUCUGCGUCGGAUUAGCUUGUUGGUGAGGUAACGGCUCACCAAGGUAGCGAUCCGUAGCUGGUCUGAGAGGACGAUCAGUCACACUGGGACUGAGACACGGCCCAGACUCCUACGGGAGGCAGCAGUGGGGAAUCUUGCACAAUGGGGUCACCCCUGAUGCAGCCAUGCCGCGUGGAGGAAGACACCCCUAUGGGGCGUAAACUCCUUUUCUGAGAGAAGAAGCCCCUGUAGGUUCAGGGCGUGACGGUAUCUCAGGAAUAAGCACCGGCUAACUCCGUGCCAGCAGCCGCGGUAAUACGGAGGGUGCAAGCGUUGUCCGGAAUCACUGGGCGUAAAGGGUGCGCAGGCGGGGCAGCAAGUCGGAGGUGAAAGCCCGUGGCUCAACCACGGAAGUGCCUUCGAAACUGUUGCUCUUGAGUCCCGGAGAGGUUGCCGGAAUUCGUGGUGUAGCGGUGAAAUGCGUAGAUAUCACGAGGAACACCAGAGGCGAAAGCGGGCAACUGGACGGGUACUGACGCUCAGGCACGAAAGCGCGGGGAGC
Molecule: ribosomal RNA, 718 nt
Filed under: uncultured Bacteroidota bacterium
Lineage: Bacteria; Pseudomonadati; Bacteroidota
Description: bacterial SSU rRNA
Rfam family: Bacterial small subunit ribosomal RNA
Source: RNAcentral